This 249-nucleotide long non-coding RNA is filed under the name Elaeis guineensis (African oil palm). RNAcentral describes it as "long non-coding RNA (EGUI_LNC078508)". Lineage: Eukaryota; Viridiplantae; Streptophyta; Magnoliopsida; Arecales; Arecaceae. The record is from RNAcentral.
CCAUCCUCAGCAGCAAAAUUAUUAGUACCACUCUCAUUAGUUUCAUCUUCAUUCUAUUCUCUACUUAUGUUACCACUCUCAUAUUCCUCAUACUCACUUCCACAAUUUUCAUCAUGCUUAUUGCCAAGAUGAGCAGGUUCAUUAUUCAAGUAAGAUUCGAUAAAGCGCUUGCGCAAACAAAUACGAAAAAUUAUGAGCAAAAUCUUUAAUCGGAGCUUGAUAUUAGUCAAGAUUAUUUUCAAGAUGAUG